UACGUAGGGUGCAAGCGUUGUCCGGAAUUAUUGGGCGUAAAAAGCUCGUAGGCGGUCUGUCGCGUCGGCUGUGAAAACCCGAGGCUCAACCUCGGGCCUGCAGUCGAUACGGGCAAACUAGAGUACUGCAGGGGAGACUGGAAUUCCUGGUGUAGCGGUGAAAUGCGCAGAUAUCAGGAGGAACACCGGUGGCGAAGGCGGGUCUCUGGGCAGUAACUGACGCUGAGGAGCGAAAGCGUGGGGAGCGAACAGG
This 253-nucleotide ribosomal RNA is filed under the name uncultured bacterium. RNAcentral's name for it is "partial 16S ribosomal RNA". It matches the Rfam family "Bacterial small subunit ribosomal RNA", at positions 524 to 776 of the family's 1533-position model. The record is from RNAcentral.